UCUCCGUAGGUGAACCUGCGGAGGGAUCAUUACAGAGUUCAUGCCCUCCGGGUAGAUCUCCCACCCAUUGCUAUGACUACUCUCGUUGCUUUGGCGGGCCGCUGGGCCCUGCCCGGCCGCCGGCCCCGGCUGGCGCGUGCCCGCCAGAGACCUCACAAACUCUGAAUGUUAGUGUCGUCCGAGUAACUAUACAAUCGUUAAAACUUUCAACAACGGAUCUCUUGGUUCUG
This 230-nucleotide unclassified non-coding RNA is filed under the name plant metagenome. RNAcentral describes it as "partial contains small subunit ribosomal RNA, internal transcribed spacer 1, and 5.8S ribosomal RNA". The record is from RNAcentral.